AGAGUUUGAUCCUGGCUCAGGACGAACGCUGGCGGCGGGCUUAACACAUGCAAGUCGAACGAAGCCUUCGGGCUUAGUGGCGCACGGGUGCGUAACGCGUAGGCAACCUACCUUCAGGCGGGGAAUAACUACCGGAAACGGUAGCUAAUACCGCAUAUUGUCAGAGAGACUCAUGUCUUUCUGAUGAAAGGCUUCGGCCACCUGAGGAUGGGCCUGCGUUGGAUUAGGUAGUUGGUAGGGUAAUGGCCUACCAAGCCGACGAUCCAUAGCUGGUCUGAGAGGAUGAUCAGCCACACUGGCACUGAGACACGGGCCAGACUCCUACGGGAGGCAGCAGUGAGGAAUAUUGCGCAAUGGGGGAAACCCUGACGCAGCCACGCCGCGUGGAGGAUGACACCCCUUUGGGGCGUAAACUCCUUUUAUAUGGAAAGAAUACUCUGUUCGUCAGAGGGUGACGGUACCAUAUGAAUAAGCACCGGCUAACUCCGUGCCAGCAGCCGCGGUAAUACGGAGGGUGCAAGCGUUGUCCGGAAUCAUUGGGUGUAAAGGGUGUGUAGGCGGGACUGUAAGUCAGGGGUGAAAGCCCGCAGCUUAACUGCGGAACUGCCCUUGAUACUGCAGACCUUGAAUACUGGAGAGGCUGCUAGAAUUCGUGGUGUAGCGGUGAAAUGCGUAGAUAUCACGAGGAAUACCAAAGGCGUAGGCAGGCAGCUGGACAGUUAUUGACGCUGAGGCACGAAAGCGUGGGGAGCAAACAGGAUUAGAUACCCUGGUAGUCCACGCCGUAAACGAU
This 793-nucleotide ribosomal RNA is filed under the name hypolithon metagenome. RNAcentral's name for it is "bacterial SSU rRNA". It matches the Rfam family "Bacterial small subunit ribosomal RNA", at positions 8 to 810 of the family's 1533-position model. The record is from RNAcentral.